UACGUAGGGUGCGAGCGUUGUCCGGAAUUAUUGGGCGUAAAGGGCUCGUAGGCGGUUUGUCGCGUCGGGAGUGAAAACCAGGUGCUUAACACCUGGCUUGCUUUCGAUACGGGCAGACUAGAGGUAUGCAGGGGAGAACGGAAUUCCAGGUGUAGCGGUGAAAUGCGUAGAUAUCUGGAGGAACACCGGUGGCGAAGGCGGCAUCCUGGACCGGUAUUGACGCUGAGGCGCGAAAGCCAGGGGAGCAAACGGG
RNAcentral lists this ribosomal RNA (253 nucleotides) under uncultured bacterium. Its description in RNAcentral is "partial 16S ribosomal RNA". It matches the Rfam family "Bacterial small subunit ribosomal RNA", at positions 524 to 776 of the family's 1533-position model. The record is from RNAcentral.